Molecule: ribosomal RNA, 253 nt
Filed under: uncultured bacterium
Lineage: Bacteria
Description: partial 16S ribosomal RNA
Rfam family: Bacterial small subunit ribosomal RNA
Source: RNAcentral
UACGGGGGGGGUAAGCGUUGUUCGGAAUUACUGGGCGUAAAGGGCUCGUAGGCGGCCAACUAAGUCAGACGUGAAAUCCCUCAGCUUAACUGGGGAACUGCGUCUGAUACUGGAUGGCUUGGAUUCGGGAGAGGGAUGCAGAAUUCCAGGUGUAGCGGUGAAAUGCGUAGAUAUCUGGAGGAAUACCGGUGGCGAAGGCGGCAUCCUGGACCGACAUUGACGCUGAGGAGCGAAAGCGUGGGGAGCGAACAGG